UACAGAGGGGGCAAGCGUUGUUCGGAAUACUGGGCGUAAAGGGCGCGUAGGCGGCCUGCUAAGUCGAACGUGAAAUCCCCGGGCUCAACCCGGGAACUGCGUCCGAUACUGGUAGCGUUGAAUUCGGGAGAGGGAUGCGGAAUUCCAGGUGUAGCGGUGAAAUGCGUAGAUAUCUGGAGGAACACCGGUGGCGAAGGCGGCAUCCUGGACCGACAUUGACGCUGAGGCGCGAAAGCCAGGGGAGCAAAGCGGG
This 253-nucleotide ribosomal RNA is filed under the name uncultured bacterium. RNAcentral's name for it is "partial 16S ribosomal RNA". It matches the Rfam family "Bacterial small subunit ribosomal RNA", at positions 524 to 777 of the family's 1533-position model. The record is from RNAcentral.